GGNGCUCUCCCAUAUGGUCGACCUGCAGGCGGCCGCGAAUUCACUAGUGAUUAGAGUUUGAUCCUGGCUCAGAUUGAACGCUGGCGGCGUGCUUAACACAUGCAAGUCGAACGUGAAAGUCCUUCGGGGCGAGUAAAGUGGCGCACGGGUGAGUAACGCGUGGAUAAUCUACCCUUAAGAUGGGGAUAACGGCUGGAAACGGUCGCUAAUACCGAAUACGCUCCCGAUUUUAUCGUUGGGGGGAAAGAUGGCCUCUGCUUGCAAGCUAUCGCUUAAGGAUGAGUCCGCGUCCCAUUAGCUAGUUGGCGGGGUAACGGCCCACCAAGGCGACGAUGGGUAGCCGGUCUGAGAGGAUGACCGGCCACACUGGAACUGGAACACGGUCCAGACUCCUACGGGAGGCAGCAGUGGGGAAUAUUGCGCAAUGGGCGAAAGCCUGACGCAGCGACGCCGCGUGAGGGAUGAAGGUUCUCGGAUCGUAAACCUCUGUCAGGGGGGAAGAAACCCCCUCGUGUGAAUAAUGCGAGGGCUUGACGGUACCCCCAAAGGAAGCACCGGCUAACUCCGUGCCAGCAGCCGCGGUAAUACGGAGGGUGCAAGCGUUAAUCGGAAUCACUGGGCGUAAAGCGCACGUAGGCGGCUUNGGUAAGUCAGGGGUGAAAUCCCACNGCCCAACUGUGGAACUGCCUUUGAUACUGCCNAGGCUUGANUACC
Molecule: ribosomal RNA, 714 nt
Filed under: uncultured Bilophila sp.
Lineage: Bacteria; Pseudomonadati; Thermodesulfobacteriota; Desulfovibrionia; Desulfovibrionales; Desulfovibrionaceae
Description: bacterial SSU rRNA
Rfam family: Bacterial small subunit ribosomal RNA
Source: RNAcentral